CGAACGCUAGCGGCAUGCCUAACACAUGCAAGUCGAACGCGAAAGGAGACCUCGGUCUCUGAGUAAAGUGGCGCACGGGUGAGUAACACGUGGUAUAAUCUACCCGAUGAUCUGGGAUAACAUUUCGAAAGGGAUGCUAAUACCGGAUAAGCCCACGACGUCUUCGGACGAUGUGGGAAAAGGUGGGGACCUUCGGGCCUACCGUCAUCGGAUGAGUCCGCGGCCCAUUAGCUAGUUGGUGGGGUAAUGGCCUACCAAGGCUUCGAUGGGUAGCUGGUCUGAGAGGAUGAUCAGCCACACUGGAACUGAGACACGGUCCAGACUCCUACGGGAGGCAGCAGUGGGGAAUCUUGCGCAAUGGGCGAAAGCCUGACGCAGCAAUGCCGCGUGAGUGAUGAAGGUUUUAGGAUCGUAAAGCUCUGUCAGUGGGGAAGAAACUAUCGUCGGAUAAUAACCGGCGGUACUGACGGUACCCACAAAGGAAGCACCGGCUAACUCCGUGCCAGCAGCCGCGGUAAUACGGAGGGUGCAAGCGUUGUUCGGAAUUAUUGGGCGUAAAGCGCGUGUAGGCGGUUGUUUAAGUCUGAUGUGAAAGCCCUGGGCUCAACCCAGGAAGUGCAUUGGAAACUGAGCAACUUGAGUACGGGAGAGGAAAGUGGAAUUCCGAGUGUAGGGGUGAAAUCCGUAGAUAUUCGGAGGAACACCAGUGGCGAAGGCGGCUUUCUGGACCGAUACUGACGCUGAGACGCGAAAGCGUGGGGAGCAAACAGGAUUAGAUACCCUGGUAGUCCACGCCGUAAACGAUGGGUACUAGAUGUCGCGGGUAUUGACCCCUGCGGUGUCGCAGCUAACGCAUUAAGUACACCGCCUGGGGAGUACGGUCGCAAGAUUAAAAUUCAAAGGAAUUGACGGGGGCUCACACAAGCGGUGGAGCAUGUGGCUUAAUUCGAAGCAACGCGAAGAACCUUAUCCUGGGUUUGACAUGUAUGGAUUAGCUUCCUGAAAGGGAAGUGACGAGUUUACUUGGAACAUACACAGGUGCUGCAUGGCUGUCGUCAGCUCGUGCUGUGAAGUGUCGGGUUAAGUCCCUUAACGAGCGAAACCCGGAGGAAGGUGGGGAUGACGUCAAGUCCUCAUGGCCUUUAUGCCCAGGGCUGCACACGUGCUACAAUGGCAAGUACAAAGCGAAGCGAUAUCGUAAGGUGGAGCAAAUCGCAAAAAGCUUGCCCCAGUUCGGAUUGUGGUCUGCAACUCGACCACAUGAAGGUGGAAUCGCUAGUAAUCGCGUAUCAGCUACGACGCGGUGAAUACGUUCCUGAGCCUUGUACACACCGCCCGUCAAGUCAUGGGAGCCGGUAGUACCCGAAGCCGCACCGUUUCAGGUGUGUCUACGGUAAGAUCG
Molecule: ribosomal RNA, 1402 nt
Filed under: uncultured delta proteobacterium
Lineage: Bacteria; Deltaproteobacteria
Description: 16S rRNA
Rfam family: Bacterial small subunit ribosomal RNA
Source: RNAcentral